Pyrus x bretschneideri (Chinese white pear) is the source of this 1459-nucleotide RNA transcript. It is a transcript of the gene named ribosomal RNA-processing protein 17, with no coding region annotated. The transcript has 2 exons. Lineage: Eukaryota; Viridiplantae; Streptophyta; Magnoliopsida; Rosales; Rosaceae. The record is from RefSeq and is a predicted model, not a curated record.
GGAUAUUCAAAUCCAAAAUUUCGGGCCGAGCCUAAUUUACUGAAGUAAACCAACGCGAACCGGCCUCUUGAACCACAAACGCAAACACUUCGGCGCAGUGAGUGCCGAUUGUGCAAUGGCGGCGGGAAAGGUCGAAGAGGCAGCGAUUCCGUCCGUAAAUCCCCGAAGCCGUUAUAUAAAGAAGAGGGCUUUGAAAAACAAGGCUCUCGCCGUCACGUUUAACGAGAAAGACCUCAGGUAGUAAAAAAACCGCCAUCACAAAAUUUGCUCAGUGAUGAAAUCUAAGCUCUGAAGUUUGCUUCUUUUCGCAUUUUUUGAAUUGGGUUUUUUUGAAUUUUUGGGUUUUGAUGUUUUCUUGUUUUGGGUUCGUGGAGCGAUUUCGUGUCUGUGUUUCACAAGAGGAAGAAGAAGAGGAGAAAGGAAGCUGAGCAGAAGCAAGGGGAGGCGCUGCGGCGGAAGCGUCUCGAGCUGCGCAAACAGACUAGAAAAGGAACUGGUUCUUAGUGGUGGGAUUGCCCAAGCCACCGAUACAGCAGCUGAUGAGGUUGAUGAGGGUGUUGAGGAGCACGAGGAUGAUGAGAUUAGUGAGACCUCUGGUGCUUCUAACCCCUGCUGUCGAUCACCCCAUAAUGUUUACUUUUCAUUGGUUGGUUCUCUGGUUUAGCGAGACACCGAUCAGUUAGCAUCAAGGCACUGUAUUAAUGUUUCUUAAUUGCUAUAUAAUCACAUCACUUCUGACCGAUCACAAAACCCUUCGUAAUCAUGUAUGCAAGAGGCGAGUUAUGUUUUCUUUAUAGUGGGCGACCCUAGCCAACAAUGCUCCCCGUUUUGCUAGGGUGGCGGGGUUCUGGUACGUAGUUGUGAAAACAUAUACGAACUUAUCGGUGAAUCCACCCUUGGAUUUUAUACGAGUAGGUGUGGAUUCAGUUCAUUAUACCUGUAUUGCUUCAGCUCAUGCUUAAUCAGAAUUUGAGUUUAACCUUUGGUAUUGCUUUAAGGUACAACAACAUAUGACAAGGGUGAGAUGAAAGUCACUGUGACAACACAUGAUAUUUUUCGAGAGGAGGAAAGUGAUCGAGACGAAAAGACGGAGGCAGCAGUACCCGAAUCAGUUGGAGCUUCUGAACAGCACAAUGUACCUGUGAGGAAGACGAAACCUCCAAAAAAAGCUGCAAGGCGCAAAUCAAGGCCCAAGCUGCAGCGUAAAAGAGAUAAAAGGAAGGGAAUAAAACCGACGAAGAACAAGCGCUAGCCACCGGUGUUCCUCGCGAGGCUGUGGGAUCAGCUUGUCUUUCCUGUGUAGAAUCAUCAAGUGCAUGAGAUCGGCCGGCUGACCGGAAGUUCCAUUUUGGUACAUUUGGAGUCUUUGGCUGUCAGAAUCAUGCUUGUAGUUGUAUGCUGCAUUUGGAGUCAGUUGUAUUAGAUCUUUUAUUGAAAUGGGAUGUUUUACAUUAUCCUC